AUACGUAGGGGGCUAGCGUUAUCCGGAUUUACUGGGCGUAAAGGGUGCGUAGGUGGUUUCUUAAGUCAGGAGUGAAAGGCUACGGCUCAACCGUAGUAAGCUCUUGAAACUGGGAAACUUGAGUGCAGGAGAGGAGAGUGGAACUCCUAGUGUAGCGGUGAAAUGCGUAGAUAUUAGGAGGAACACCAGUUGCGAAGGUGGCUCUCUGGACUGUAACUGACGCUGAGGCUCGAAAGCGUGGGGAGC
RNAcentral lists this ribosomal RNA (246 nucleotides) under uncultured bacterium. RNAcentral's name for it is "partial 16S ribosomal RNA". It matches the Rfam family "Bacterial small subunit ribosomal RNA", at positions 523 to 769 of the family's 1533-position model. The record is from RNAcentral.